Zootermopsis nevadensis is the source of this 1727-nucleotide non-coding RNA. The record is from RefSeq and is a predicted model, not a curated record. Lineage: Eukaryota; Metazoa; Arthropoda; Insecta; Blattodea; Termopsidae.
ACGCGAACACCUGCGUCAUGAUGGCUGGUCUCCGGGCUGAGUCAGAAAACAAAGAUUCUGUUCAGGGAUUGCUAAAUGUCGGGUAGAAGAGUGAACACAAGUUUCAGAAACGACACUCCCCGAUGCCGUCUUUGAUAGGCCUGAACACGCCACGUGCACAAAAGUGUCGGGACACUGUAGACAGAAGUAAAAUCUAACCUUGCGCAGACUUUUCAGCGCCGUUAACACAGAUGAUUAAUUUUGUGGACAAAAAUUUAAAAAUAAAAAAAUGUGGAGAAUUAUUAAGGUUCACAUUUCGUAAAUUUAGUACAAACGCAGAAUUCCAAUGGAACAUCAAAAAGUGAGUCUAUACAUUGCGUUUCAAAUAUGUCUCAUUUCUGGUGCCGAAUUUUUGGAGUUACUAUAGUCUAUUCAGGAUAUGUAUGAAUCAGACAUCGACACUGUUUAGGGGAGCGACAUGACGGCUUCAGAUCGGUUGAGAGCCACGGAAGAUUCUUUUGGCGUGGUUCACGUCAUGCACUCCGCCUCACGCCUUACCACUGCGAACUUAGGACUGACUCUGGAAGUCUAAAACGCCGUAUAUACGACACGUAAUACGAAAACAUAACGAGAUAAAAAUACGUUUGCCACGGACAAUGCACUUCUAUGGAAAAUCCCGAAUUUUUAAAGCUAGAUACUGUUAAAAUAACAAGAUGUUCAUGUUCAACAGUAGUUUCUUUGAAAACAAUACACCGUAUUCUGGAGCCAAACGACACUCUGCUCAUUUUUCACGUUGGGUACUGCAUUCAAUCCUUUUGGGAAAGAACUUCGUGGGAAGUCCCCUGGAACGGCCAGCCGGCGAUUGAAAAACUGUUAUCAUACAAGAGUGAUUCGGUUACUUUGAUUAUUUCCUCGAACAUCGUUAACCAACUGAGGGACACGCAUGUGUUUUCUUUUAGGGAUGGACUAAAUUUCCAAAACAGUAUGAAAAGGCGAUCUGGGCUUAAAAGUGUCAAUUCCUACCACUUCAGCCCAUUUAGUUCUGACAGCUGAAGUCCUCUCGCGAUUAUUAAUUCCCUAAUGGUGAGAAGUCUGGUACUGCAGACGUCAAUGGAGACCCCCAGAGCGACUGAUAGUUAACCGAAGGCUCGAAACUGAUGCGACGGGAAGAUUAUCGAGCACGAAGGACGACGAGUUGUUCGUUCUUACCAGAAGAAAAACUCAGAUAACAACGCCCGUGUGUGUGUUCCUCUUUUAACUUUCAAACCAACUGACCGAUUUUCACCAAAAGGCACAAACAUUACGCCAACCAAGUCCACUUCAAUCUCGUAUCCAAGACUCAGCCAAUUUCAAGGAGACCGCCGAUGAGCAGCAGCAGUGUAGCCGGUGGCGGCUAUUUGAAACGACUGACAAAAUAUCCCUACCUAAACAGCUCCCUUAAUAAUAAACUUUCCCUUUUUUGACACACAUAUAUACAAACUAAAUGUAAUCACAUUUCAUUGCAUGCAGCUGUGAAACAAAAGUCAGGGUGCGUCACAUUAAAAAAUAUAUAGACAAACAGUAAAUUUACAGAACACAGGUUUUGGUCUCUUAUUAAACCUUGUUACAGAAAAAUAACAUAUUAUCUCCAUAAUUCAGAGGGGUUACAUUGAACAUUAAAGUUCCAUAAAUUUUUAGCCUGCAAUUUGGAUCUUCUUUAACUUGGACAAGAAUAUACAUUAUUCAGAACACUUAAUUUUCAUGCAGUG